CCAUUUAAACGAAGACUCCAUAACCCCUUCACAACCAUUGAAAUCUCUGGAAACUUCUGAAAAUUUGAGCAGCGAGAAAGAUUGACAUCUCUAAGGCACUUGAGUUCCCAGAUGCCACAUGGAAGACUUUUAAGACCUCGGCAACCUUCUAGGUUCAAAGAUUCGACCCCGGAAAGAUUUAUAAUUGAUGAGGGAAGUUCUUUAAUUGCUGUCUUAUCUAAACAAAGGUAAGUGAACCCUUCUGUAACUUUUGAAAUCUCAGGAAACUUCUCAAAACUUGAGCAGCCAGAAAGAGAAACAUUUCUAAGAGACUUGAGUUGGCAGAUGCUGCUUGGAAGACUUUGAAGCCUUAGACAACCAUUUAGCUUCAAAGUAUUCAGCCCGGAAAGAUUUUCAAUUGACGAGGGUAGUUCCUGAAUUGCAGUCCCAUCUAAAUAAAGGCACCAGAGCUCUUCCAUAACUUCUAAAAUCUCUGGAAACUUCUCAAGAUUUGAGCAGCCAGAAAGAGUAACAUAUCUAAGGGACUUGAGUUGACAGAUACUGCUCGGGAGACUUUUAAGCUUCACGCAACCUUUCAAGUCCAAAGUAACAAGCUCUGUAAGAUUUUUAAUUGACGACGGCAAUUCUUCAAUUGCAGUCCCAUUUAAACGAAGACUCCAUAACCCCUUCACAACCAUUUGAAAUCUCUGGAAACUUCUGAAAAUUUGAGCAGCGAGAAAGAUUGACAUCUCUAAGGCACUUGAGUUCCCAGAUGCCACAUGGAAGACUUUUAAGACCUCGGCAACCUUCUAGGUUCAAAGAUUCGACCCCGGAAAGAUUUAUAAUUGAUGAGGGAAGUUCUUUAAUUGCUGUCUUAUCUAAACAAAGGUAAGUGAACCCUUCUGUAACUUUUGAAAUCUCAGGAAACUUCUCAAAACUUGAGCAGCCAGAAAGAGAAACAUUUCUAAGAGACUUGAGUUGGCAGAUGCUGCUUGGAAGACUUUGAAGCCUUAGACAACCAUUUAGCUUCAAAGUAUUCAGCCCGGAAAGAUUUUCAAUUGACGAGGGUAGUUCCUGAAUUGCAGUCCCAUCUAAAUAAAGGCACCAGAGCUCUUCCAUAACUUCUAAAAUCUCUGGAAACUUCUCAAGAUUUGAGCAGCCAGAAAGAGUAACAUAUCUAAGGGACUUGAGUUUGACAGAUACUGCUCGGGAGACUUUUAAGCUUCACGCAACCUUUCAAGUCCAAAGUAACAAGCUCUGUAAGAUUUUUUAAUUGACGACGGCAAUUCUUCAAUUGCAGUCCCAUUUAAACGAAGACUCCAUAACCCCUUCACAACCAUUGAAAUCUCUGGAAACUUCUGAAAAUUUGAGCAGCGAGAAAGAUUGACAUCUCUAAGGCACUUGAGUUCCCAGAUGCCACAUGGAAGACUUUUAAGACCUCGGCAACCUUCUAGGUUCAAAGAUUCGACCCCCGGAAAGAUUUAUAAUUGAUGAGGGAAGUUCUUUAAUUGCUGUCUUAUCUAAACAAAGGUAAGUGAACCCUUCUGUAACUUUUG
Molecule: long non-coding RNA, 1535 nt
Filed under: Malus domestica (apple)
Lineage: Eukaryota; Viridiplantae; Streptophyta; Magnoliopsida; Rosales; Rosaceae
Description: long non-coding RNA (MDOM_LNC003521)
Source: RNAcentral